Callithrix jacchus (white-tufted-ear marmoset) is the source of this 149-nucleotide unclassified non-coding RNA. It matches the Rfam family "Metazoan signal recognition particle RNA". From Rfam's summary of the family: The signal recognition particle (SRP) is a universally conserved ribonucleoprotein. It is involved in the co-translational targeting of proteins to membranes. The eukaryotic SRP consists of a 300-nucleotide 7S RNA and six proteins: SRPs 72, 68, 54, 19, 14, and 9. Lineage: Eukaryota; Metazoa; Chordata; Mammalia; Primates; Cebidae. The record is from Ensembl.
GCCAGGUGUGGUGGUGCAUGCCUGUAGUCCCAGAUACCUUGGGGGGCUGAGGCGGGAGGAUCGCUUGAACCUGGGAGGUUGAGGCUGCAGUGAGCCCUAAUCAUGCCACUGCACUCUAGCCUAGGUGAUAGAGUGAGACCCUGUUUCAA